UCACUUGAUAUUGAAGAGUAUUCCGAUACUGAGGUACAGAAACACCAAGUACUAAGUCUGGAAGCAUGGCAAGACAAGCUUAUUAAAGCAUUUGGAUACUUUUCAUAAAGGUGAGAGUGGACUGAGGAUGUUUUUUCCUCUAUAUGGAAAAGUAUUAAUAGUUGAGAUGAAAUGGUUUGCAGACCAGGGACACAGUGCAGUUGGUGUGAAAAUCAGUGAACUUGAGAUACAAGAAUUUUUUACACAGCAAAUCUUUCUUACUCAGAAGAACCAAUCACUAAAAUUCCUGAAACCAAAUAUAUAAGAGUUCUUCAGGGAACAUUUCGUUGUACUGUUGCAGCAUUUUUUAUCUUCCCAGAACAAAUAUUGACAAAUUUGACAGGAUUUGGAAUAGAGGAGCAUUAGUUACCAUUAAUCCAGGUGGAUUGUGAAUGCUCUGCAAGUAUAAUGUUGUUCCUCCUGAGAAAACAGUUUCAGUACCUCAUGUGUGUUCUUUCUUAUGAUUCAAGUAAAAACAUGCAGCCCACCAUUUUUAUGUUCCACAUGCUUAAAUUGAAAGGUUAUUUGGUACAAUAUGCAGUAUUUAUUGUCUUGGAAAUGCUGAUGCUUUUGAAGAACAACAUAAAAGUUGGGGAAUUGACUACAUUUUUGGAAAGAUAGAUCUACUUACAGAAAAGU
Molecule: long non-coding RNA, 678 nt
Filed under: Homo sapiens (human)
Lineage: Eukaryota; Metazoa; Chordata; Mammalia; Primates; Hominidae
Description: non-protein coding lnc-CHM-4:1
Source: RNAcentral